Ictidomys tridecemlineatus (thirteen-lined ground squirrel) is the source of this 69-nucleotide non-coding RNA. Lineage: Eukaryota; Metazoa; Chordata; Mammalia; Rodentia; Sciuridae. The record is from Rfam.
GGAGUUGUAGCUCAGUGGUAGAGCACUUGCUUUGCAAGUGUGAGGCACUGGGUUUGAUUCUCAGCACCA